GGGGGACGGAGAAGGCUAUGUUGGCCGGGCGACGGUUGUCCCGGUUUAAGCGUGUAGGUGUGUGUUCCAGGUAAAUCCGGUUCACUUUAACACUGAGGCGUGAUGACGAGGCACUACGGUGCUGAAGCAACAAAUGCCCUGCUUCCAGGAAAAGCCUCUAAGCAUCAGGUAACAUCAAAUCGUACCCCAAACCGACACAGGUGGUCAGGUAGAGAAUACCAAGGCGCUUGAGAGAACUCGGGUGAAGGAACUAGGCAAAAUGGUGCCGUAACUUCGGGAGAAGGCACGCUGACAC
This 295-nucleotide ribosomal RNA is filed under the name Salmonella enterica. RNAcentral's name for it is "partial 23S ribosomal RNA". It matches the Rfam family "Bacterial large subunit ribosomal RNA", at positions 1467 to 1757 of the family's 2925-position model. Lineage: Bacteria; Pseudomonadati; Pseudomonadota; Gammaproteobacteria; Enterobacterales; Enterobacteriaceae. The record is from RNAcentral. RNAcentral also lists the same sequence under 4 other names.